Long non-coding RNA from Calypte anna (Anna's hummingbird), 282 nucleotides. RefSeq lists it as uncharacterized. The transcript is spliced from 2 exons. The record is from RefSeq and is a predicted model, not a curated record. Lineage: Eukaryota; Metazoa; Chordata; Aves; Apodiformes; Trochilidae.
ACCCCCUGUACCUGGGGAGUGCUUAUUGUGUGUGCACAUUUCUGCAGCCUAAUGGAUCAGGCCAGUUGUUCAGAGCUGCAGUAGGCAAAAGCUGGAGUGGGAAACAGCCUCGGGAAGGAACACACCUUCAGGACAGUGCUGGGUAUGGGUCCAUCUCACUCUGAGCCAGCACCGGGCUGAAGCAAAGCCAAGGAGCCACUCUGCUUAAUGCUGAUGUGAAUUUUAAUGAACAAACUCAGAGGGCUCCUCCCCGGUGAAGAUCUGUAGUCACAUCCUCACUCC